Molecule: transfer RNA, 76 nt
Filed under: Synergistes jonesii
Lineage: Bacteria; Thermotogati; Synergistota; Synergistia; Synergistales; Synergistaceae
Also listed under: 4 other names
Description: tRNA-Thr
Rfam family: tRNA
About the family: Transfer RNA (tRNA) molecules are approximately 80 nucleotides in length. Their secondary structure includes four short double-helical elements and three loops (D, anti-codon, and T loops).
Source: RNAcentral
GCCGGUGUAGCUCAGCUGGUAGAGCAGCUGACUUGUAAUCAGCAGGUCGGAGGUUCGAAUCCCCUCGCCGGCUCCA